Molecule: ribosomal RNA, 370 nt
Filed under: uncultured bacterium
Lineage: Bacteria
Description: bacterial SSU rRNA
Rfam family: Bacterial small subunit ribosomal RNA
Source: RNAcentral
AGAGGUGGCGAGCGUUGUUCGGAUUUAUUGGGCGUAAAGCGUACGCAGGCGGUUUGGUAAGUCAGAGGUGAAAUCCUACAGCUUAACUGUGGAAAUGCCUUUGAUACUGCCUUUCUUGAGUGCAUGAGGGGGAAGCGGAAUUCCGAGUGUAGAGGUGAAAUUCGUAGAUAUUCGGAGGAACACCGGUGGCGAAGGCGGCUUCCUGGCAUGUAACUGACGCUCAUGUACGAAAGCGUGGGGAGCAAACAGGAUUAGAUACCCUGGUAGUCCACGCCCUAAACGAUGGGCACUAGGUGUGGGAGGUAUCGACCCCUUCCGUGCCGCAGCUAACGCAUUAAGUGCCCCGCCUGGGGAGUACGGCCGCAAGGUG